AUUGAACGCUGGCGGCAGGCCUAACACAUGCAGGUCGAGCGGAUGAAGGGAGCUUGCUCCUGGAUUCAGCGGCGGACGGGUGAGUAAUGCCUAGGAAUCUGCCUGGUAGUGGGGGAUAACGUCCGGAAACGGGCGCUAAUACCGCAUACGUCCUGAGGGAGAAAGUGGGGGAUCUUCGGACCUCACGCUAUCAGAUGAGCCUAGGUCGGAUUAGCUAGUUGGUGGGGUAAAGGCCUACCAAGGCGACGAUCCGUAACUGGUCUGAGAGGAUGAUCAGUCACACUGGAACUGAGACACGGUCCAGACUCCUACGGGCGGCAGCAGUGGGGAAUAUUGGACAAUGGGCGAAAGCCUGAUCCAGCCAUGCCGCGUGUGUGAAGAAGGUCUUCGGAUUGUAAAGCACUUUAAGUUGGGAGGAAGGGCAGUAAGUUAAUACCUUGCUGUUUUGACGUUACCAACAGAAUAAGCACCGGCUAACUUCGUG
This 484-nucleotide ribosomal RNA is filed under the name uncultured bacterium. Its description in RNAcentral is "partial 16S ribosomal RNA". It matches the Rfam family "Bacterial small subunit ribosomal RNA", at positions 30 to 507 of the family's 1533-position model. The record is from RNAcentral.